AUUAGUACGGAAAUCGCCGCCAUUUUGUAACCUGCUGUUUUAUAACGAGGAUGUUGGUUGAUAUUUUUUUAAGAACUCGUAACCCCCUUCCUUGUGGUGAUUUUUGAAAACAAAAAAGGAACGAUACUUCAUAGGAAGACGUGAACUCCUGCUGAUGUGCCUUUUUCAUGAGAAGGGAUCAAGGAAAAGAAGCCAGUUGCUGCCUUGUGGCCAGCAACUUGGUGUUUUUACGAUGCUACCGACACCGAUGUGGUACUCGAAGUUCUGAAACCGGCAAAGAAAAAACAACUGGAACUUUGUGGUGAGCAAGAAGAUCUGCACGCUUUCAAGUGAAUGAGCCAUGCCUCUUGAAGGACAGCUUCCAUGACGACCCCUGCCAGGACGAGGAUGACUUCCCCUUUCAUAUGAUGACUUCCACUUUCAUAUGAUGGCUACCAUAUAAUGAUAUCUUCUGUUGAUGAUGUCCACCUCUGGCUACUUGUUAUUGCUGUUAUUACUCCAAAUAAAGAGAAUACUAUA
RNAcentral lists this long non-coding RNA (519 nucleotides) under Haliotis rufescens (red abalone). Its description in RNAcentral is "uncharacterized LOC124118364, transcript variant X3". Lineage: Eukaryota; Metazoa; Mollusca; Gastropoda; Lepetellida; Haliotidae. The record is from RNAcentral.